AUGGUGGUGCUCUUGUUCCUCAGCUUUGCUGCCUGCACUGCUCUGCUCUCAGGAGAGAAAGUCCUGCAGACUCCCAGUGACAUGUUCAAGAACCCGGGAGAGACGGCCACCAUCCAAUGUAUUCAUAGCGUGCCGGGCUACAACCUGAUGCUCUGGUACCAGAACCUGGACAUGCGGAUGCAGCUCCUGGGCUACAUGUACUCUGACAGCCCCAGCACAGAAAAUGGUGUGGACGUGGAGAUCAAAGGGAGCGCCGCAGAGAAUAGAAUGUGUCAGCUAAUCAUCCCAAAGCUCAAGCCGAACAGCAGUGCAUUUUAUUACUGUGCAGCUAGCUACCACGCUGCAGCAGUAAGCUGCCCUAUCAAGUCAUAA
Entelurus aequoreus (snake pipefish) is the source of this 372-nucleotide non-coding RNA. The record is from the annotation of a RefSeq genome assembly. NCBI's taxonomy places the organism in Eukaryota, Metazoa, Chordata, Actinopteri, Syngnathiformes, Syngnathidae.